Gallus gallus (chicken) is the source of this 6457-nucleotide long non-coding RNA. RefSeq lists it as uncharacterized. Lineage: Eukaryota; Metazoa; Chordata; Aves; Galliformes; Phasianidae. The transcript is spliced from 3 exons. The record is from RefSeq and is a predicted model, not a curated record.
AAGCUAGCAAGAGACAACAGCGAGCACAAAGCUUAUAAGUAACUCCUUUUCCUUCUAUGUAUGUACAGCUCCCUUAAAAGUAUUCUAGUGUGUUAUUAGGAGACUACAAAAUAAGAUAUUCUCCACAAAAAGGAACAAUCUCAAACCAAUGCAAAUAGAAGGAAGUGGGGAAGAGAGCGAAAUGUAUUCUGCAAAUGCUACACUAUGUGAUGAACCAUAUACAGCUGUCCAAUUUGUGAGAAAAAUCCUCCAACUGCUUCAUUACUGUCUUGUCGGAAACGAAUUGCACGGGCCCUACAGGAGAGAGAAGGAGUCUUUAAGAACAACAGACUUGGCAGCAAAUGAAUGAUAAUAAAAAAGAAAGCAGAUCUGAACAGAAUCCGAAAUGUUAAACAGCAUUUACUGUACACUUUAUCAAUUAAAAAUGAGGAAAAAAACCCCAAACCCAUUGAUUUCUAGUACUAAGUAGUUAAAAGAUACCUACAUCUUGUUAGAAUGUGUUAAAAUUUGAGGCCUACGGUUUCAUCAGGCUGUGCAUUAAUCACUGUCUUUAAGAUUAGAUGCAUUAUAAUCAUAACUGCUUGAACAGUAUACAGCUCUCAAACUAAAACCUUGGGCUUCUCUCAUCUCGCCUUUGUCACACUCAUUUACCACAGAUCUUCUGGUUGCAGAAUAUAGUUUUUUUUUCCUCACACGGAUCUCUGUUUUGUGACAGUUCAUGAUUUGUUGUGUGAGAAAGAUCAGUAUAUUUUAAAAUUAUAGAUCUAUUUCACCUUCUAGAACAGACUGGCUACUAUUGUAGAUAUGCCUAUUGUGUAAAAAUUUGAAAUUCAAUUUAAUGGAAAAUUACUGUAAUAAAAGAAAUCAUACCAAUCACAAUGGCUUAACUAAAAAUCCAAGUCCUCGCCUUUGCCAAAAUAAUUGAAAAUACUCCAAGUUAGUUAACUAUCAACCACAAGAACUGCACGAACUUACUGAGUGUGAACUGGAAGAAACUUAUAUUAGCGUUGAACAAGUCAAAAUUAGAAGCAUACACUCAAGAGGACACUGUCUCAAAUGUUUUUAACCUAUAUACUAGAAUACAAACGUGCAGCUCAACAAGUUUUCAAGAAGCAACUUGACUUUUAAAGAUUAAGAGAGUCAAGGCUUAGAAAACCUGAAAGAAAAAUAAGUCAACUUCUACUGGUGCUGAAGUUGUGGAAGAAGAACACACUCUUGAAGAGUUAACAGCAUCCUUCAAUGAGCAGUGCUUUCUACUCAAAAUAAAUUAUUUCUGCUGUAUGAUAUCAAACUAAAAGGGUUAUAUAAAAGAAAACCAAACCACUCAGCCCACAGUGUUGUUUGCACACAGAAUUCCUUUUCCUUUCCUCAAAGGAUACACUGAGGGUCAAAGAACUAUUUUACAAGAUGCUUGAGAACAGAAGCAGACCAUUAACUGGGUGCCUGAAAUGCUUCAGUACCAUUCUGUCACUUCCACUUCAUAUCUUUUAAACACACAUCUCUCAAAGAGAAAAACAGAAGUGCUAAGGUAGUACUUACCAGUAAUUUCCCCACUCAAUCAUAGUUCCAGGCUACAAGAACAAAACAGACCGUUAAGACUGUAGCUUAAGAAAAACUGCAGUAUUUUGACUGUAUUCACAUUUUUUAUUUUUGACAGUAUUCACAUUUACAUAUGGAAAACACUAAUAAUAAAACCACUUCCUUCAAGUGAUAAGCAUAUUAUAAUCAUCUAUAAUUACUCAAUUUACUUACUAUACUAGUUCUUAGUCAUUUUCCAGGAGUCUCCCUCAAAUUAAAACACAGGAUUUCCAGCCCUUCACAGGAGACAUUAAUAUCUUGUUGGAGCCUGCCUUCAUUUUGGACCCCACACUUUGAGAGCAACAAUGACUCAGCCAUCAGCUUUGAUAAGAACCAGGUUUUUAAGACGAUGUCUGUUUUCCAUCCACGUUGUACAAACACUCUUUGAACAUUUCAUGACAUCAUAUAGCUUAAAAAAUACAAAAAACUGAAACUUACUCUAAGUUGAUAGGAUCUCAGUUCAUAAAUAUUCGGCCCCUCUCUGGGAACAGGUUCAUUCCAGAAGCUGAAUUCCAACAGUAAUUGGUUCUUGCGAGACAGAAGCAUGUUACCUCUUUCUUUGCGAAACUCUGUGAACUCCUUAAAAACAAUGUGGUCAUUGUCAAACUGUAUAUUAUGUUUCAACAACAACAACAACAAAAAAAACAGAGUACAUCCCCUACAGUGGUUUAGAUUUUUCACUACUACACUGAGGUUUUGGACACUGAAAUUCUUUAAAUUGCAAAGGCAUCCAGAUUCCCUUGGCAUCUUUGAAAACUUCAGCUGGCGCUUUUAUAGAGCAUCUGAGAAUCUCUAACGUUAAGACUCAGUAUUUCUGAAUCUGAAUCUCUUCCAAUCUGUUUCUAAGCUUGCACAGAAAGUGAUACGUAAAAGCAGGUGUCCAAACGUACACUGUUUUGAUCUAUUCCACGUUAUUUUCUUUAACCAUCUGUAGCAAAAUCCAAAAGUUUUACCUUAUUUUGACGGAGUUUACUCAUGACCUCAUUGAGAGCUGGAUAGCCUCCCUCAUACCUCCACAGAUGAACUGAAACAGAAAUAGGAAGUAUUUUCAUGGAUGUUGUGUGCAAACUGCAAAACUUAUGGAAUAUCACAGUACGAAAUGCUUUUCAUACAGCAGAAUUACACAGUAAUACAAGUCAUGUAACAGGUUUUAACAAGAUUUUCAUUAAAGAAAGCACUACGCAUUUGAACACUUGAACAGAAUCAUCUGCUUUUUGGAAAGUGCUCUUUCAAAAAUUUUACAGUUUAAUCUGAGGAUAAGAGGAAGAUUUCUAAGAGGAGGUUUUGUUGCCAUGCUAGUGAAGUGUGAUGACUUUACAUGACUGUAAUUUAAAAUGAGAUUCAAUUGAAGAGGCCGACUUAAUUCAUAAAGAUGUUUUAAAACUAUUUCAUCUAAGAGCAGGGGAGUAGUAGACUUUAGUUUAGCAAGUUACGCAAGCAAAAAGAGCAUAAGAAACUUUCAGCAGGACACACAAAAAAAUGAUGCAAAUGUUAUUUUUGUAAUAAAGGUUUAAUUAAAAAAAGCAUACCAGAAUUGAUCUAAAUGUGCUACAACUGUUACAUUUUUGCUAGGAUUUUCCCCAUAAAAACAUAAAAAUUUCAGAAUAGGUAUUUGCAUUUGACAGACUUUUCAAAGUAUUCUCUCUUUAAUAAGGCAUACUAAAUGGCUCUAAUAAAUCCUAACUAGAUUUAUUUACAAGCACUUAAUAAAGCAAGGCAAUAAUAUUUCAACUCAGUCAGAAAAGCAAUUUGCUCUCCUACACAGAAGUCCUGAGCCUUUUUCAGGAGUGCAAACUCGAGACUAAUGAAUAAAGCACUUCACUGCAACAGCAGAUUCAUCCAGUAUGCCUGCUUCUAUUGCCUAAUCCCCAGGGCAAAUUUGAUAUAUCCAGACAGUAUUAACACAGCCUGAGCACAAGUACUGAACAAGAAAAAAACCCAUAAUCUGCUUUAUUAUACUGCCAGAACUGUUGCAAUAACAUUUUCAAGCCAAGCUAUGGAUGCAAUUACAGAUAUAGUCUGUGUUAAUACAUUACAAAAACAAUGAAUGAGAUUUGACUAAGCAUUCUCAUUUCAAUUAUUGCCCGCUUUCCCUUCAACUUUAAGAAUUCUUUCUCAGAUACUGUUUGGUUUAUCUACAGUUAUUUCCUCACAUUUGUGCAGUGUCAAUAUUCCAAUAAGCUGUGAAUGCAGGAAAAAUUACUGGGUAUAUUGAAACACUGAAACACAGAACAGCUUGGAUUGGAAGAUCAUCUAGUUCCAACCACCCUGCUGUGCACAGGGCUUCUUGGAUAACAAAGCAGUGACACUGACACUAGCACAGCUCUGAUCACAGAGCUUCUACCACAAAACAAGCAUUGGCACACCACUCUGUAUGUGUGGUUUCCCAUUCUUUCCUUUUCCCCAGAGCCCAGGAAAUUGUUCAGGUUUUCUUUCUGCACAAGUCUCUUUGCAGUUACCUCUGUAGCAGCUCUUCAGUGCUUUCUAGUUCAAUGUAUUUUCAAUCUGCACUGUUAGGUGGUAUCCUUAUAAGAACAUGAACAGAAAACCCCCAGUAAAGAUUUAGAUUAUUGUGAGUUUACAAUGCAAUCCUUUUUUCAGAUGGCAUGUAUGAUUUGCAUUUCAUUAUCAUAUAGCAGUUGCAGAAUGAAAGUCUGAGUAAAGCUUUUUAUUUUUUUAUUUUUUGGCUUAUAAGCCAACACAACUCUGUCUGUGUAAGCCUUUGCCUUUGGCUUAAGUAUUCAGGAACACAAUCUGUGCCUGCAAAACAUUACAGGAGCAAAUUUGACCAGGGUUUCUCCAAUUGUUAAUUUACCACCUGGAAAACAGGAAAGUAUUAACGAGAGGACAAACUUUAGGAAUUAAAAGCUUCACUGUGAAACUCAACGAGACAAAAAGCAAGCACUGCAAAUGUUAAUAUGACUACCAAUAACCGAUGCACACACAUCCUCACUGUAUACAUUGCUAAAGGUUUACUAUCAACAGAGAUGAUUUAAAGAGAAGAAACCUGCCAAGCACACGUUUCACUUGUAUGGUUUUACAUUCUGUUGUACUUCUAUCUCCUACCAGCCUGAUCUUGCUCUCCGUACCACGUGUUCCAAGUCCCCACCAGUGCACAUGGGUAGUGUUUUUCUUCAUGAAUCUUUGGCAGCACCUCUUGACUUGAAAACAAGGAAUACAGACACUAUGUUGCAUUUCCUUCAGGGAGGCUACAGUUGAUAUGUAUAACAAAUCACCACACGUUUAUCAUUAUGGCACGAAAAUUCACAAGCUCUAUGUUUCAGAAGAGAAAGCUGAAAUACAAGAAUCUGCUAUGCAAGAGGAAAGAUAGCUACAUAAAAAUAAGGAGUCAGCUUUAUACCCUGCACCACUGACUAUGAGAUCCAGAUGACAGGUUUCGAUCUUCAGAUACAAAGCUCUCUUCCAGUAUCAAAACUUUCUGACAAUUCCUCAAAGAAAAAAAAAUAGGAGAAGAAAAUAUCAACUUCUUUUGGUGGAAAAAAAUCUCAAAGAACACAAUUGUCUGUAUUGCACAAAAGGAAUUCACACCAGCAGCACUCCUCAGCAAUCAACAUUUGAGAACCUAACAAACUGGGAUACCCUGUGGAAGCAGAAUGGAAGAACUGAGAAGUAUUUCAGAGCACAGAAAUAGUAAGAACCAAAACAACCACAGCCAAGACAGUCUUCAAUGCUAAGAAGUAAUUGGUAAGUAUUUUGUUUUAUUUAUUGAAAACAGUGCUUUAUUUGACCCUAGACAAUCAUACAAACACAUUCCUGUGCAGUCACUCCUGCAUUCAUGAAGACAAUAACCCCCACCAACAAGAUCCUACAUGGCAGUUGGAGUGGGGGAGCAUACUAGCAUACAAGGAUCUAAUUGCAAUUGUAGAGCUAAGGAUGGGAAGGGAGCUAUGCCAACAAAGGGGCAUUCCAUGGUACAGCUGUUGCCAGAGGAGGGUGGUGCAGGAGCAGAGGUUUCUCUGAUCUCAGCUGAGGGAGAAGAGAGGCACAGGUGACAGCACAGCUGUGUUUUACACCUGCACCAGGUGCCACAGGAACGUACCAUGCCUCAGCUGAGGUCACACUGGAGAGCCCACCCAAUAAAGGCACACUCUUUUACAGCUCCUGUACAGUAAACACCAUUACCCACUGGACACAAAACCGCCUCCGACCUCCAGGAGGCAGGACUCCAUUUCAGCCCUGCAGUGCUUGUUCUUUCAUCUACAGGGAGAUAUGUACACUACUGACAUAUUCUCCCUUAAUUACUAAAUGCAAUUAGCAAACUAAUAUUCUGAGCACUCUUCUGCAAGGAAUGAAACAAAUACCUUAGGUGUUUAUGCAAUCUUUUGCUCAGGAAUUGUGAAGUUCCUUAUCAACAAUGACUAAUAAAUCACAACUAGCCAUCUAAAUGUUCACUUUACUUACAAUAAAGAAUGGUAACAGCUGAAGUUGAUUAAAACAGACACUCACUGUGUCUCACCUGAGAUGCUACAGCCUUCAUUUGCACCACCACAUCCCCUGAGAUACUCUACUGGUGUCCAUCUGGACACCCACAAACCAAGAUGCUCUGAGCUGACUGCCAGCUCACCUGCUUGGGCCACCUGUGCCUCAAGAAGAGCCAGGGACUUAAAUGACAGACUUGUUGUAAGCAUCAAAACGAAUCCACCACCCAAAAGAUCCACUUGUAAAUAACAUUAUGCUCCACAGCAUGAUCAAAUCAGUUCCAAGGAAAACAUUGGAUCCAUAUUACCUGAACACCGCUAAUGAAAUUACAAGUAAGUGCACAGAACGAACAUGUACACACUAUAGGGAAUUACCAUCACACUUCAUAACUUUUUAUUUUCUGGGAAUAAUGCUUAUUAAAGAGUUUUCAUGCAACCUU